Molecule: unclassified non-coding RNA, 221 nt
Filed under: uncultured fungus
Lineage: Eukaryota; Fungi
Description: sequence contains ITS1, 5.8S rRNA gene
Rfam family: 5.8S ribosomal RNA (bases 173-221)
Source: RNAcentral
UCUCCGUUGGUGAACCAGCGGAGGGAUCAUUACAGAGAACACCCUUCUCUACCGUUGUGAACCUACCUGCCGUUGCCUCGGCGGGCCGUCUCGGGUCCCCUGGGACGGCCUGCCGGCGGUACCACAAACCACUGUCAUGUUAGUUACUCUGAGUACUACGGGAAAUCGUUACAACUUUCAACAAUGGAUCUCUUGGCUCUGGCAUCGAUGAAGAACGCAGC